AUUGAACGCUGGCGGCAGGCCUAACACAUGCAAGUCGAGCGAGGGGCGGACGGGUGAGUAAUAGCUGGACAUUGCCCCGUCGAGGGGGAAAAGAGUUGGAAACGACUGCUAAUUCCGCAUACGGUUGUAUUGCCCAGGUGGGGUUAGCUAGUUGGUGAGGUAAUGGCUCACCAAGGCGACGACCCCUAGCUGGUCUGAGAGGAUGAUCAGCCACACUGGAACUGAGACACGGUCCAGACUCCUACGGGAGGCAGCAGUGGGGAAUCUUGCACAAUGGGGGAAACCCUGAUGCAGCCAUGCCGCGUGUGUGAAGAAGGCCUUCGGGUUGUAAAGCACUGUCAGCGUGGAGGCGUUACUCGCAGAAGAAGCACCGGCUAACUCCGUGCCAGCAGCCGCGGUAAUUC
RNAcentral lists this ribosomal RNA (404 nucleotides) under uncultured bacterium. Its description in RNAcentral is "partial 16S ribosomal RNA". It matches the Rfam family "Bacterial small subunit ribosomal RNA", at positions 30 to 526 of the family's 1533-position model. The record is from RNAcentral.